AAAAAACAGAGGGCAGGAGACGGGCAGAGAAGAAAAGAAAGCAGGAGAAAAGAGAAAUAAAAGAGAAAAAGAAGAAAAGAAGAUAUAAAAGAGGAAGGUUUUGCUAUUCAAACUUCAUUAUUCAAUUUCUCUAAUUUUUUCAAAAGAUAUAGCAUAAUUUAUUCCUAAAUUUUUAGGCUUUUGAUUUGUUGGUGUAAAUUUUAGAUUAAGAGAAAUAAGUUCCAUUGUUGUUUGAAGUUUCUUGACUAGUUACUUUCCAUUUAUAUUAAAGCAAGAAAUACCAUUUUUGGACAAUCCCUAGAAUUUUUAUUUGGGAUUCUUGAUUAAGUAUUGUUAGUGGAAAUGAUUGUGGUGAUGAAAUAGUCAAAUGAAACAUGAGUUUAUGGUGCAAAAUGAAAGUUAAGUUGGUUGAGUUGUUUGUGUUAGUUUUCACUAGAUCGAAUGAUAAUCAUUUUUAUGUUUGAGAUGAAGGUUAUUUUGAUGAAUUAGUUAUUAGUAAAAGGGACUAGAAAGUGGAAUUAGCUCCAAUUGGUUAAAGAAAAAUUUGAGAAGUUUAUUCAAGUAUUGAGAAAUCUAGUUUAAGUAUUAUGGCAUUAGAUAUUAAAAGUUUCUUGAUUUGGUAGUGGUUAAAUUAGUUAUCUUGUAUCGUAUUUCAGAUGGAACAAGGAAAUUGGAAAAGCUUAUCGGCCUUCAUAGCUUGUAGCUUAACUUGUGAGUGGAUAAAAAUUUAUUUUUCAAAAAUUAAUACUUAAUAAAUUUAUAUUAAAUCAGAAAAUUAAUUAUUUUGUACAUUUGGUUUGACAACAUAAUUUCUAAAAUAAAGUGGAUUUUAUAGUCAGUUCUUUUUUUUAAAGUUAAAUUCAGUUCAAUUAAAUCAUUUCAUUAGCAUGUUAUAUCGGUAUUAAAUAUUCAAUAUAUCUAAAGUUAUUUUUAAAACCACCAUAAAGUACCCAGGUAAUUUUACCAUUGUAUUCACUUGUGUGAAUGUGUUUCAAUAGUGUAUGACCCCAUAUGUUAUUUACCCAUUUUACACUGGUGUGAAUGUGUUUCCAUAGUGUAUGAUUAAUUAUGGUAAUUUUACCCGUUCUACACUAUUGUGAAUAUGUUUUCAUAGUGUAGGAUCAUGUUAUAGCCUUUGGGCAGCUCCACGCGCGCAUAACCAUAAUUUCAGAACUACAGAAAUACAGAAAUUCAAUUUCAAAAUUACAGAAUUUCAGAAUUAAAUAACUUUAUCGUGUACAUCGAGAUUAAUCGAUGCAUGAAUAUGAUUAUUUUGAGUACUUUUUGGUGUAUUUUCAAUAAUAUAUAUAGCUCAUUAGAUUUCACAUUAUAGAAUUUAAUUUAUUCGGUCUAAAGAAUUUAAAUUUCAGUUUAUAGUACUGUGAAAUGAUAUUUUACUCAUAGUAUGUAUGUCAUAUUUAUUAUAUCCGUUAUAUUUUAUAGUUGUUCAUUCAAAAAAAAAAAAAAAGAAUAAAGAGUUUUAUGAUUCCAUUAUGCUUUAAUUUUAAAAGUAUUACUAGAUUUCAGACUUUCUUAAAAUUGUAAUAGCAAAAGUGCUUCUAGAAAGUUUACAUAAAUGGAAAAGUAAAUUUAUUUGCGAAACAUCCACUCACUGAGUUACAAACUCAUAUAUGUUAUCACCCUUUUUCUUAUCAGAUAGUAGCUGAGUUGAGUAGCAUUGAAGCCAGUUGAUCUACUAAGUUGAGCUACAAAUUUUCAUCAAUUGUAUUACUUAUUUUGUCAGUUUAUAUGCUUCAUAUUUUUGGGACACAUGCAAUUUUGAUAGAAAAUAUAUCCAUAUCAUGGGCUCAUUGCAUAUUUAGUAAAUUUUGAAUAUGUUGAAAUUUUAGAGACUUUUAACUUGUUAAAAAGUGUAAAUUUCAUUCAUGUGCACUUUAUUUCGAAUGGUUUCUAUUUGAAAGGGCAGGUACACCCUAUUUUAAAUUACAUGUAUAUGUUCCGAAAAUUUUAUGAUAUUUCAAGUGGUUUUAAUCCAUAUUUCAGAAGAAAUCCUGUCAAAUUUUUUACAAAAACAUGUCACAAUCAAAGUUGCUUUGGUGGUGGAUUCAACAUUAGCUAGUUUCUACAAUUGGGG
RNAcentral lists this long non-coding RNA (2095 nucleotides) under Olea europaea (common olive). RNAcentral describes it as "long non-coding RNA (OEUR_LNC007707)". The record is from RNAcentral. Lineage: Eukaryota; Viridiplantae; Streptophyta; Magnoliopsida; Lamiales; Oleaceae.